AUGAUCUUGGGAAAGUAUACUCGAACAAAGAUCUUGUUCGAAAAAUCCUGCGGAGUCUCACUCUCGAAUGGCGUUCCAAAGCCAAUGCCAUCCAAGAGUCGAUAGGAAUCACGGACGUCACAAUUGAUGGACUAAGAGGUAACCUCAAAACUUAUGAAAGUACAAUUCUUUAACCUUCAUUUGGAGAUGAGAAAAGUCCAGGUAU
This 205-nucleotide long non-coding RNA is filed under the name Nicotiana benthamiana. Its description in RNAcentral is "long non-coding RNA (NBEN_LNC029108)". The record is from RNAcentral. Lineage: Eukaryota; Viridiplantae; Streptophyta; Magnoliopsida; Solanales; Solanaceae.